Long non-coding RNA from Gadus morhua (Atlantic cod), 579 nucleotides. RefSeq lists it as uncharacterized. The transcript is spliced from 2 exons. NCBI's taxonomy places the organism in Eukaryota, Metazoa, Chordata, Actinopteri, Gadiformes, Gadidae. The record is from RefSeq and is a predicted model, not a curated record.
UCCACUUACUAACUCGCAGUAUAUCCAUGGGGUCACAACGAGAUUCUCUGUGGUAACCAGGAUCAACAAACAGCGGUUAGCUAAUCCGGCUCAGGUCCCUGUUGCAUUCCACUGGGCCAAUAAAGUUAUUCCAAAGGAUAUGUAACACCAGGGGGGACUGUGACCUCAGUAGAGGUACUGAUUGAGGUUCCUUCCGACCCUUUCUCUUCAUUCUCGUCAUCUUCGGAGAAAAAGGGAGAGAGACAGAGCCAGCGAGAGAGAGAGAGAGUAAUACAAAGAAAGGAGCAAGAGAGGAAUGAGAAGCAGUAGAGUUGACUCCCUCCAAAGUUGCCCCCGUUUUUCUACUGUUGAUCCAAGACAGAAAUAAAAUGAGGCUGGUUCUCUCGGAUAUGGAGGAGGAAAGAGUCUCUACAGAGUGGCUUUGUCAGGCUGGAUACAGUAACGCUGAUCCAGACCGAUCCAGUGAGAAGAUUGGACAGGAAUAGGAGAUAGUGAGGCGAUCGAGUUCUGUUUACCUUCAUCACAGCCACUGCCACCAAAGGCUACGCUGUCAAUUAUUAACAGCCUUCUAAGUCUUAA